RNAcentral lists this ribosomal RNA (468 nucleotides) under uncultured bacterium. Its description in RNAcentral is "partial 16S ribosomal RNA". It matches the Rfam family "Bacterial small subunit ribosomal RNA", at positions 28 to 507 of the family's 1533-position model. The record is from RNAcentral.
GACGAACGCUGGCGGCGUGCUUAACACAUGCAAGUCGAACGGAAAGGCCCUGCUUUUGUGGGGUGCUCGAGUGGCGAACGGGUGAGUAACACGUGAGUAACCUGCCCUUGACUGUGGGAUAACUUCAGGAAACUGGGGCUAAUACCGGAUAGGAGCUCCUGCUGCAUGGUGGGGGUUGGAAAGUUUCGGCGGUUGGGGAUGGACUCGCGGCUUAUCAGCUUGUUGGUGGGGUAGUGGCUUACCAAGGCUUUGACGGGUAGCCGGCCUGAGAGGGUGACCGGCCACAUUGGGACUGAGAUACGGCCCAGACUCCUACGGGAGGCAGCAGUGGGGAAUAUUGCACAAUGGGCGGAAGCCUGAUGCAGCAACGCCGCGUGCGGGAUGCCGGCCUUCGGGUUGUAAACCGCUUUCGCCUGUGACGAAGCGUGAGUGACGGUAAUGGGUAAAGAAGCACCGGCUAACUACGUG